Molecule: long non-coding RNA, 578 nt
Filed under: Gossypium barbadense (sea-island cotton)
Lineage: Eukaryota; Viridiplantae; Streptophyta; Magnoliopsida; Malvales; Malvaceae
Description: long non-coding RNA (GBAR_LNC000133)
Source: RNAcentral
UGACCUUCUGUUUGCCAGUGAAGGAAAAAAAAACCACCACUCCCCAUGAAAAUAAAUGAAAGUAACAGGAUUAGGAGUGUUAAUAGAACUUCAGAAACCAAAUAACUGCGCAUCAAUUAGGAUUUAAAGCAACACUUACGAUUUAUAUUACCGUAGACAACAAGCAGAUUGUUCAGCAGCACAAUGAAGGCUCGUCAGAUUCGUCUGUGUUAAAAUAGUCAUAAAUUUUGACAUUUUAUUGAUAAUGAAUUUCUACAACAAUUUCAAAUUUUAAGAUGAAAUACAAACGAGAAAGAAGUGCAAACUGAAAAGAUGAUAAAUUUAAAGAAUAAUAGAAAAAAAAACGUAAGAAAGGUUUGAAUAUUACCUGGGGAGAUCUGGAGAGUGAAGUGGAAUCGAGGAUUUGAGAGAGAAAGAGAGUUAAAAAAAGGAGAUGAAGAUCGAUUGAGAAGAAACACCAAGCUCAGGCCUUCAAUCGGUGAAAUAUAGAGGAAAGCAACUUAGGGUUUGAUUUGGGGAAACUGAGGGUAUAGGGAAAAAUUUGUUUUGGGAAAAAAUACUAAGUAUCGGGGCUUAAC